AUGUUCUUCUGUGGGAUGCGUGCAUUUGUGUUUAUUAAUCGCUAGAAAUCCAAAAUGCACAUAGUGUUGCUUUAACAGUCUUAAAUGUAACGAAUCUUCUCCAGAUAAUUAUUUGAUACAGUCGAAAUAAAUUGCUGACAGAGAGACGGUGGCAUUUAUAUCUCGGCGUGGAUGAGAAGAGAACCGCAGCUGAGACACAUGUGAACUGUGAACUUACCCUAUGGUUAAAGGUGUGUGUGGAGAUCUGUGUGGGUCAGAUGAGCAUCAGGUUUCCUAUGACCAUGACCAGCAUGAAGACCAGAAUGCAAAGCGGCUGUCCGGCCACCUCCAUACAGUCCCACAUGGUCUCAAUCCACUCUCCGCACAAGACCCUGAACACGAUGAGGAACGAGUGGAAGAAAUCCUUCAUGUGCCAGCGAGGAAGCGUGCAGUCGUAGCUGAUCUUACACACACAGUCCUGAUAGUUCUUUCCAAACAGCUGCAUGCCCACCACAGCGAAGAUGAAGACGAUGAUGGCCAAGACCAGAGUCAGAGUUGAAGUUUACCAGUCUGAACGAGCGGAGGACAGAUAGACCCUCCACGUUGGAAAGGCCCAACUCCAUCAGACUCAAACAAACAAUAAUUCCAUCAAAGAUGUUCCAGCCUUGCUGAAAGUAAUAGUAUGGAUCCAGAGCGAAGAUCUUCAGCACCAUCUCUGCCGUGAAGAUUCCAGUGAACACCUGGUUUCCAACACUCAGCAUGCUGUUGAAUUCAUCAGUCAUGGGGUAGUGCUCUAGCGCCAUGAACAAUGUGUUCAGAACAAUGCAAAUGGUGAUUGCAAGAUCCAGGAAAGGGUCCAUCACCAUGACUUUAAGCCCUUCCUUCACUCUCAGCCAGGCAGGAGAACAUGUCCAAAUCAGGUACUUCUUCGCAAAUUCAUACCAGCAUGGAGGACAUUUCUGAUUGGCCUCUUCUAGUUCUAAGAGGAGAAAUUAAAAUCAUUAAAUGAGUAACUGAAAAGAAACAUGGACAUUAAGGUAAGAUGAUGUUUGAUACUUCGAGUGUUUUAGAUAAACUGAUUUUAAAUUUGAAACAUCCUUUUGUAGCUAAAUUAUUUCUCC
Molecule: long non-coding RNA, 1100 nt
Organism: Carassius carassius (crucian carp)
Lineage: Eukaryota; Metazoa; Chordata; Actinopteri; Cypriniformes; Cyprinidae
Exons: 5
Source: RefSeq, a predicted model, not a curated record